This 253-nucleotide ribosomal RNA is filed under the name uncultured bacterium. Its description in RNAcentral is "partial 16S ribosomal RNA". It matches the Rfam family "Bacterial small subunit ribosomal RNA", at positions 524 to 776 of the family's 1533-position model. The record is from RNAcentral.
UACGUAGGGGGCUAGCGUUGUCCGGAUUCAUUGGGCGUAAGGCGCGUGUAGGCGGCCAGGUAGGUCCGAUGUGAAAACUGGAGGCUCAACCUCCAGCUGUCAUUGGAAACCAUCUGGCUAGAGUCCGGAAGAGGAGAGUGGAAUUCCUGGUGUAGCGGUGAAAUGCGCAGAUAUCAGGAAGAACACCGAUGGCGAAGGCAGCUCUCUGGGACGGUACUGACGCUGAGACGCGAAAGCGUGGGGAGCGAACAGG